CUUGACGCUAGCGGCAAGCCUAACACAUGCAAGUCGAACGAGUGGCGGACGGGUGAGUAAUGUCUGGGAAACUGCCUGAUGGAGGGGGAUAACUACUGGAAACGGUAGCUAAUACCGCAUACCAUCGGAUGUGCCCAGAUGGGAUUAGCUAGGAGGUGGGGUAACGGCGCACCUAGGAGACGAUCCCUAGCUGGUCGGAGCGGAUGACCAGUCACACUGGAACUUAGACACGGGCCAGACUCCUACGGGAGGCAGCAGUGGGGAAUAUUGCACAAGGGGCGCAAGCCUGAUGCAGCCAUGCCGCGUGGAUGAAGAAGUCCUUCGGGUUGUAAAGUACUUUCAGCGGGGAGGCGUUACCCGCAGAAGAAGCACCGGCUAACUCCGUGCCAGCAGCCGCGGUAAUAC
Molecule: ribosomal RNA, 405 nt
Filed under: uncultured bacterium
Lineage: Bacteria
Description: partial 16S ribosomal RNA
Rfam family: Bacterial small subunit ribosomal RNA
Source: RNAcentral